This is a long non-coding RNA of Syngnathus acus (greater pipefish), 754 nucleotides long. RefSeq lists it as uncharacterized. The transcript is spliced from 2 exons. Lineage: Eukaryota; Metazoa; Chordata; Actinopteri; Syngnathiformes; Syngnathidae. The record is from RefSeq and is a predicted model, not a curated record.
AUGACAGGUGGACUUAAGAUACUAAGUACGUCGGUAGCAUCAUAAAUAGAUCAUGAAGUGGAACAUUGCAGGAUUAGCCCGUCCCGAGCCAUACUCGGGGCAUUGCUGUCAACGAGGAUGCAAACAUGACAGCACCCCCCGCCCCCCCCUCUCACCCACCCUCUGUAGUCACGUGGUCCAGCGCGCUACUUGAUGGAAAAAUACUGGAUUUGGUGUCGAGCGUAGCACAGUACACAACCUAGUACAAAGUCAUUCACUGAGGAUUUUUCGAAGGGCGUCACGGACUUCACCCAGCAACAACGUUUUUAGGUCUACGUGAGCCACAAUUAAUCGACCGUGCUCUUUUACUUUACCUGUAACUGAAGAACAGGAAAUUGGACUGUGGUCGUGACCCGUCACGCUACUCUAGUCCAUGCUUUCAGACAACUUAAAAAAUAUCAACAAAAAGCAGCGCCAUCUUCUGCUCCUUCAGUGCCUGACGUUACUGCUUUCAAACGUGAAACUUGACUGACCUCUGGUGGACAAAGAGUGCAAUUGUCUUGAAACGCCGGACAAAUCAUCAUGGCUGUUGCUUUAUGUUAUGUUGAGUUUGUAUGUUCUCCCCGUGUGCUUGCAUGGAUUUUCUUUCUGCACAGCAUCAACAACAAUACAGUAUAGGUACACACAAACAAAUGAUUAGACCUCCUUACUAAUAUGUCCCUUUCAACAUGCCUGUGUAAGGGGUAGGCAGAAGUACAAUAAAUGAAUCUUCCCC